AACAACCUUAAUGAAAACACAUCUGAAAGUACGACAAUCCAUAUGGACAAUGCUUUGUGGAUGAGCUACUCCCGACGAUGGAAGACGUUCUAUUUUCUUCUUUCUUUAACUAUGUAUGAUUUGUUUUACGAUCACAAAUAAGAGAUUUAUUUUAUGCUCCAACAACCAAUUGAAGCCAACCAACAAUAUAUGGUACUUAUGUGAAAUGCUAA
Molecule: long non-coding RNA, 212 nt
Filed under: Capsella rubella
Lineage: Eukaryota; Viridiplantae; Streptophyta; Magnoliopsida; Brassicales; Brassicaceae
Description: long non-coding RNA (CRUB_LNC004114)
Source: RNAcentral